UUUUAGAAAAAUAAACAAAUUAGAAAUUAAUUUUUGAAAAAAAAUUAAACAAUGAAACUAAUAAAUAAAGAAAAAAAAAACAAAAGAAAAAGAGAUUAACCAAAUCAAUUAAAAAUAAAAAAAUUAAUUAAAAACAUAUUAUUCAUUUACUAUUUCUAUCAUCAAUUUAACUAUUUUAAAACCAUAUCAUUCCGUUAACUAUUUUAAAACCAUAUCAUUCCAUUUUUCACUUGUAUCCCUCUUUCCAUUAGACCAACUAACCUGAAACAUUUUUAUGUUUUACUCAUAGUUUUUUCUUCUGAAACCUAACCCUCCACAUCACCCUCCAUGUCACAUUCCACAUCACC
This 347-nucleotide long non-coding RNA is filed under the name Vigna radiata. Its description in RNAcentral is "long non-coding RNA (VRAD_LNC000560)". The record is from RNAcentral. Lineage: Eukaryota; Viridiplantae; Streptophyta; Magnoliopsida; Fabales; Fabaceae.